UAUAAGGGAUUUUGAGUUUUGGUUUGCACUGUUUGACCACUCGUCUUAUUCAGAAAGUUUUGGAAUUAUUAUUUAUUUUUUUGACUUACUUUAUUAUCCAAAGUACUUUAAGCAUAAUUUUUCGUUUUUUAUAUUUGCACAAUUUUUUUGAAUAAGACGAGUGGUCAAACAAUGCAAAUAGAAACUCAAAAUCCCAUAUAUU
RNAcentral lists this microRNA precursor (202 nucleotides) under Oryza sativa Indica Group (long-grained rice). RNAcentral describes it as "MIR812 microRNA precursor family". It matches the Rfam family "MIR812 microRNA precursor family". The record is from Rfam by way of RNAcentral. Lineage: Eukaryota; Viridiplantae; Streptophyta; Magnoliopsida; Poales; Poaceae.